GACGAACGCUGGCGGCGUGCUUAACACAUGCAAGUCGAGCGGUAAGGCCCUUUCGGGGGUACGACGAGCGGCGAACGGGUGAGUAACACGUGGGUGACCUGCCCUUAGCUCUGGGAUAAGCCUGGGAAACUGGGUCUAAUACCGGAUAUGACUCCAUAACGCAUGUUGUGGGGUGGAAAGCCUUGUGCGGCUAGGGAUGGGCCCGCGGCCUAUCAGCUUGUUGGUGGGGUGAUGGCCACCAAGGCGACGACGGGUAGCCGGCCUGAGAGGGCGACCGGCCACACUGGGACUGAGACACGGCCCAGACUCCUACGGGAGGCAGCAGUGGGGAAUCUUGCGCAAUGGGCGAAAGCCUGACGCAGCGACGCCG
Molecule: ribosomal RNA, 370 nt
Filed under: uncultured bacterium
Lineage: Bacteria
Description: bacterial SSU rRNA
Rfam family: Bacterial small subunit ribosomal RNA
Source: RNAcentral